UACGUAGGGUGCAAGCGUUGUCCGGAAUUAUUGGGCGUAAAGAGCUCGUAGGCGGUUUGUCGCGUCUGCUGUGAAAUCCCGAGGCUCAACCUCGGGUCUGCAGUGGGUACGGGCAGACUAGAGUGUGGUAGGGGAGAUUGGAAUUCCUGGUGUAGCGGUGAAAUGCGCAGAUAUCAGGAGGAACACCGGUGGCGAAGGCGGGUCUCUGGGCCGAUACUGACGCUGAGGAGCGAAAGCGUGGGGAGCGAACAGG
This 253-nucleotide ribosomal RNA is filed under the name uncultured bacterium. RNAcentral describes it as "partial 16S ribosomal RNA". It matches the Rfam family "Bacterial small subunit ribosomal RNA", at positions 524 to 776 of the family's 1533-position model. The record is from RNAcentral.